RNAcentral lists this ribosomal RNA (200 nucleotides) under uncultured bacterium. RNAcentral describes it as "partial 16S ribosomal RNA". It matches the Rfam family "Bacterial small subunit ribosomal RNA", at positions 8 to 198 of the family's 1533-position model. The record is from RNAcentral.
AGAGUUUGAUCAUGGCUCAGAACUAACGCUGGCGGCGUGCCUAACACAUGCAAGUCGAGCGGUCACCAAUUUGUAGCAAUACAGAUGAAGUGAUAGCGGCAGACGGGUGAGUAACACGUUGGCAAUCUAUCUUUCCGACCGGGAUAACUAGCCGAAAGGUUAGCUAAUACCUGAUACGAUCACCGAGCGGCAUCGUUUGG